UAAAAUUAAGCAAAAAUAUUUUCACUUACCCUCAAUAAAUAAAUUUUAGUUAUUAUUUUUCCCUCCUUAGUUAUGUGUUAAUUAAUAUUUCCUUUCUAGCAUAACUUAUGCUGAUUUGGGAUUUUUAUUAUUAGUAAGAUUCUAAUAAAUUUUGUGUUAAAUCUUUUUUUAUAAAAGUGGUCUCUUGAAUUAAUAAAAUUAAGCAAA
This 207-nucleotide unclassified non-coding RNA is filed under the name Hevea brasiliensis (rubber tree). Lineage: Eukaryota; Viridiplantae; Streptophyta; Magnoliopsida; Malpighiales; Euphorbiaceae. The record is from RNAcentral.